Homo sapiens (human) is the source of this 1073-nucleotide long non-coding RNA. Lineage: Eukaryota; Metazoa; Chordata; Mammalia; Primates; Hominidae. The record is from Ensembl.
GUAAACCUCAGGCUACUCAUCACAGUGCAGAGUGAUUUCACCUAAAGGCACAACAGCAGCUGAUUGCCACAAUACAAACAAGAGCCGCCACUUACUGACAGCAGCUACGUGCCAGCUCUGUGACUUUGUUGUGUUUUACAUGUCAGUAAAUGGCACCCUCCUAUACUUUGUAAUUUCAACCAGAAACCAAAGAAAGAUUCUGACACCUUAUUCUCAGACACAUUCUACAAGGUGAGUGCAAAAAUUGCGUUUUUUGCAUUGUUGGAAUUUGCUGUUUGAUCAUGGAAUACAUUCUUAAAUAAAUGUGGUUAUCUUAUAUAUCAUUUUAAUGGGCAUUUCUUGCAUUAUUAUAUAUAUAUUUUUUUUGCUAAUGACAUUACUUGCUGUUUAUUUUGUGCUUAUUUUAGACUAUGGAAAUUAGGUUAGACAAAAGGCAAAUUCCAGCAGUUUUCUUAUUCGAGUUAAAAAUGGGUAGUAAGGCUGUGGAGAUAGCUUGCAACAUCAACAGUGCAUUUGGCCCAGGAACUGCAGUGGUGGUUCGAGAAGUUUUGCAAAGGAGACGAGAGCCUUGAAGAUGAGGAGCAUAGUCGCCGGCCAUCAGAAGUUGACAGUGACCAAUUGAGAGCAAUCAUCAAAGCUGAUCUUCCUUUUUUUUUUUUAAAUUAUACUUUAAGUUUUAGGGUACAUGUGCACAACGUGCAGGUUUGUUACAUAUGUAUACAUGUGCCAUGUUGGUGUGCUGUACCUAUUAACCCGUCAUUUAACAUUAGGUAUAUCUCCUAAUGCUGUCCCUCCCCGAUCUUAAGUUUUAGGGUACAUGUGCACAACGUGCAGGUUAGUUACAUAUGUAUACAUGUGCCAUGUUGGUGUGCUGUACCUAUUAACCCGUCAUUUAACAUUAGGUAUAUCUCCUAAUGCUAUCCCUCCCUGAUCUUCUUACAACUACUUGGGAAGUUGCCAAAUAACUCAACGUUGACCAUUCUACAGUUAUUUGGCAUUUGAAGCAAAUUGGAGAGGUAAAAAAGUUUGAUAAGUGGGUGCCUCGUGAGCUCAGCCAAAAAAAAAAAAAAAAA